AUGAAGCAAUUGACCAAUAAGAAUGGAGCCUACAAGAAGAUUUGUUGAAUAGAUUAACUUUAAAUGGUAUACCACCACAUGAAUUAAACCUCAAGGCACGGACAAUUUCAAACAGCAGAUCAUAAUUCUGACAUUAGUACUGCCUCUAUUGAUCAGUUGCAUUUCAACAAGGUAUUGAGUGAAACAGAGGAAAGAUUCCACCCAGCUUCAUAAUGUGAAUAAAAAAUUCAGUCGUAUGAAGAAGCUGUUGAUAGAGGAAAAUAACCACCUUGCAAAGCAGGUAAUCCCAGCUGGUAUACAACAAUGGGUAUAUGCACCACCCAUUGCAAAGUAUACAUCAUUUAUUUAUUUAUUUAUUUUUGU
This is a long non-coding RNA of Olea europaea var. sylvestris, 363 nucleotides long. RefSeq lists it as uncharacterized. The record is from RefSeq and is a predicted model, not a curated record. Lineage: Eukaryota; Viridiplantae; Streptophyta; Magnoliopsida; Lamiales; Oleaceae. The transcript has 3 exons.